Molecule: long non-coding RNA, 815 nt
Organism: Carya illinoinensis
Lineage: Eukaryota; Viridiplantae; Streptophyta; Magnoliopsida; Fagales; Juglandaceae
Exons: 2
Source: RefSeq, a predicted model, not a curated record
GAAACUUUGAACUGCAGUAAAACAGACAAUUUUUAUUUGUGAGUUACUGUUCACAUAUCAAAUAUUUUAUUUAUUUAUUUCAGUUUAAUCCUGACACCGAGGGUUGCAGAACCGUUUCCAUCAUCGCAUCUCUUCCCCGGUGAAUUUGAGUGCUUUCCUCUUCUAACAAUGAUGAUGACCAUCGAAGGGUGUGCCUUGGUCGACGUAAAUCCACCAUGAGAGCCCUUUUUCCGCUUGUUUCGUUUCAGAUUCCGAUCCAAUGCAUGUGUCACCAACCCAAGUGACACACUGUACAGCCGAGUCACGUUGUUCAGCGGUUCUGACAAUGCGCCCACAAUGCUGCUCUCGGAAUCCUCGAGCCCUUCGUAGCAUGUCUGCUGGUUCGUCACUAUCGCACUCAGCAGCGUCUGCACUCUCUCCACCAGCUCUUCGUUCAUCGACUCGGCUGACUUGAGCUCGGCGGAGAUGGAGUCCAGGUACUCCACGUUGAGCUGGGAGAGCUGCCGGCAAUCCUCGAGUGCUCCAGUCUCAGCGUGGCCCAUCGACGAGCGUCGCUCUUUUUGGGUUAGGUAGUGGCCGAUCCGGUCUGACGUUUUACGUGCUUGCUUCAGACAUUGCUUCACGGAAAACUUGCUGUAAUCGUAAGCGUCGGACGGCGAGUAGCGGAUGGUGGAGAGGAUGGAACGGCAGAGUUUGGGGUAAAGAGUAGAUUUGCAUGCAGCAGAAGGCGACUGUGGAGAGGACUGGGCCGAGGUACUAUACAGAGCCAACGAAAGUGAAAGAAGAAAAAAAAGGAUGAGAUUAAAGAGGAAAAA